This 201-nucleotide long non-coding RNA is filed under the name Homo sapiens (human). RNAcentral describes it as "non-protein coding lnc-TMEM182-11:1". The record is from RNAcentral. Lineage: Eukaryota; Metazoa; Chordata; Mammalia; Primates; Hominidae.
AUGAGUGAUCAGCAGUUGGACUAUGCCUUAGACCUAAUGAGGCACCUACCUCCACAGCAAAUUGAGAAAAAGCUCAGCAACCUGAUUGACCUGAUCCCUCAUCUAUGUGAAGAUCUCUUGCCUUCUGUUAAUCAGAUAAUGAAAAUUGCCAGAGACAAGGAAGUGGGAAAGGAUUACCUUUUGUGUGACUGCAACAGAGAU